CUCUCAGUUCCGCUAUUGGACAAAAUUGCGCCGGUACCAUUUUGGGGGGAUGAUAAUGUUUAUUAUUGGCCAUAACUUUGUAUAAUCAAAAUAAUACAUGUUAUUUUCAACGGAAUAUGUUUUAUCUAAUGCACAAAAUAAUUAGGAUAUCACCUUUGUUAACGUUUAGAAAACCUGUACGCAUUAUGCGCCCCUGCUUUCAAAGAUAUUGGUACGGUCUUUUCAAUUGCGCUGCAAACGUACAUUGAGCCACAAGAAGAACGUGAAACCCGCUCCAAAUAAGAUGCUGCGGACCGAUGUCGGUGUUAAUUGAUCUGGUUAUUCUGUUUUAAGAAAAGGAAACACCACACUGCGGCAUAAUUUCAUUUUUGCCCCGCGGAGAGGAGGAUGGUGCCUGGGUUGUCAUAACUUUAGACUCGCUGCUUUUCCUUGGCACGCGCACUGAUCCAGUUGGUGAGGGACCGAUGGUAAAGGUAGAUUACCCUCUCGGCGACGGAUCCUUACAAGGCAACUGGACCUUCUUCCUUGAUACCUCCUUCUCUUUCUCCUGCGAAUGGCGGGGAUGAGGGCCUUGUCGGUCAUCUGAAGUAAAUCCUUCCCGUCCGUCUCGUUGAAGAAAAAGUAAUCCUCCAGUACGUGGCAGCAGUUACAGGGUUCUGAUCCUGAGGAGAUGACGGAAGUGGUAGAGCCCAAGCUGGACUUUGCAUCCUCGGGUCGCUCGGGGAGAAGGAACGCCCUACCUGACAUCCUGGGGUCACCGGCUGGGGUCAACCCCACUGACCUUCCACUCAAACUGGCCGAGCUCAACCUCACAGAUGUUCAGGGAGAAGCCCAGUCUCCCACGACGGAGGAGGCCCCACCCCCUCCAGAGAGCUCUGAGGGGAAUGAGGGAUCAUAAGGCUGCCUGGUGGGGGUCUAACUAGCCCCAAUGUUUACCUCUUGUGAGGCUGAUGAGAUAACUGCAGAAGAGGAAUGGAUGGGUAGGACGAUACAGUAAGACCCAUGAAGGAGUGGUGGGCCUGUUUGAACAGCAGCUGAGCUGCAGAGGGAUGAGCGGAGAAAGGGUGGGAGAGAAGGUUAGAAGGAUGGACAGAGAACUGUCUCUUAUCACACAAUCUGAAAAGACUUAAGAAAAGCGUUGGUGUGUGUGGGUGUGUGUGUGUGGGUGGACAGAUCACCUCUACUCCCACACACACUGCCAUGAGAAACAAAGGACAUACGCUGAUUAUAUACUGUUGUGCAAAACGGGGAAGUCUCAAGUGGAAAAAAUGUCAAAUGUCAAAUUUCCUGCUGAUGUCUAUUACAGGUAGGACGAUGGGCAGAUCCUCGUGGCCUAUAGUGGUUCUGAGCUUUCUGAUCGUUCUGGAAGAUAUAAGGUGAUAAUGUAUUAUAAUGUACUGGAAAUGUUUGAAGAACGAGGGGAGAGUGAGUUAACUGUAUAACAAGGGGGAGCUGGCUUCCUCUUUCACACAGACAUUUGAUGUAAGCAUGAACUCAGAUCUGAGACUUUAAUACGGAUGGCAGCAUGGUGUGUACAGCAUAUAUGGGUUUUUAAACGUUGUUAAUGGUUUUGAUGACAACCAAUGGGGCUAUAAUGCUAAUGGGUUGAGAUGAAGACGAUGACUGAUGUGAUUGUGACCUGAAGUGUUGAUGUGUUUAUUUGCAAAGGUUAGCUAGAAGCUAAAGCUAAUGUUAUGAGUAGGAGGACAAUCCAAUCCCUGUCUUUUAAACAUUCCUGACAUCAACCUAAAAUGGUUUCUCACUGCCAACCAUGUACUGUUAAACACUCCUCUGCUGUUGGUGUAUUUCUAUCCCGGAUUUAUCUCGGUGUAGGCUCAGACUUUUCUGUUUCCAUCUACAUGGGCCGGCACCCGUGUCUCACUGGGCCAUGGCUCCAGCGGACCUGCUCUCACUUGGGGCCAAAGCCAGGCCGCUGGUACUUUUCAGAUGGCAUUUACGUAACAAUGGCUCACUGUGAACUUUAACACCUCACAAAGCUGCUGUUUGGAUUAUGCAGAGGUUGUUGAUUCUGCUCUUCACAAGUCCUCAGUGUCAGCACUAGCUAUGGAAACACACUUUGGCUAGAAUAACAUAAGGGUGUAUGCACUCUUGUAACAUUGGUGUUAUGGUUGAAAAAACAGCAUGUGACAACUGCUGAUGUGUUAAUCUAUUCAGCUCAAGGCUGUCUUUCGUUAAAAGGCUUUCUAUUUUCCCAGACUCCUCUGAAAAUGUGCCUGAUAGCAGUUCACAUGGAAACCUGUUUUGUUGUGUUCUAUAGCUCUGUGUUAAGUGCUGUUCAACAGUAUUUGGGCUAUUGACACAUACAUGAAAACACCUAUUUUUUUUUGUUUAGUAAAAGACAUGCCUACCAGGUGUGUACAGUACAGAGAAAUGUCACAUUUAUAACCAGAAUACUACUAAAUGCAAUGUUACCGAUGUAUACGCUCAAAGACGAAUACCACCCACACCCACAGCAAGGCCUUGGAGAUGGAACGCUUGUGCACAUGUUUCCCAGUGUGGUCGGCAUAUGCCUGUGGUCUGGGCAUGGGAGCAAGCACCAAGCAACACCGCCACCAAAGUGUUGCAUCACGUCUGGAGAUGGCAGCAUCCUUUCUGCCUCCUUCUGCUCCACUCAGCCACGGACGGACUGGGACCACAAAUCAGCCCCGGCAUUUGUUACACACAGGCCCUUUUUUUCCCUGGAGGCCCCUAUUGUUAGCCAAAUAAUGGUCAUUCUGCGUAAAAAAACUAACAAUUUAGACAAGCCCGCUUGGCUAAAGAUGGACCAUCUGGCAUUUUCCCGAACUGCCCUAUGGCCAGUCCGUGCCUGCAUUAUGCUGCCGGUCUGAGAGGACUUCUAUCUCUUACUCAUCAAAACAAUAGAGCUAAAAAUGCAUGAUCGCAACUGACUGAUGAUACAGUUUGAAUAUGAACACUGGGGACCAGAUGCACGGUGAACAGUAGACUGAUGAUACAGUAUGAAUAUGAACACUGGGGACCAGAUGCACGGUGAACAGUAGACUGAUGAUACAGUUUGAAUAUGAACACUGGGGACCAGAUGCACGGUGAACAGUAGACUGAUGAUACAGUUUGAAUAUGAACACUGGGGACCAGAUGCACGGUGAACAGUAGACUGAUGAUACAGUUUGAAUAUGAACACUGGGGACCAGAUGCACGGUGAACAGUAGACUGAUGAUACAGUAUGAAUAUGAACACUGGGGACCAGAUGCACGGUGAACAGAAGGACUGACAUAUACAGUACUUAGUAAUGCCAAUAUAUAUACUGUUUAACACAGUACAUAAUACCAGUUAUUACACUGCUGUUGUAUAUAUUGUGCUAUUACACAUGGAAGAGUUUAUUCACUAUAUGUGCAUAUUCGUAUAGUGAACAAACAUUCACUAUACAACACAAGAGAAUGAACAUUCUGUAUUAUCAAUUGUCUUUCUAUGAAAUGUUUGGGCUGUGGGUAUCUAUGUAUGGUUUUGUCUCAAACGCAAGCAGCUGAGGCUCUAAUUCGUAAUGCACUGCACUGAUUACUGGAAUCGUUCAUGUAAUAACUCAAGGUAAAUGUUUAAUCUAUGGGGAGGAAAAAUCUGAGGUGUGUCUCGUAGUGUCAUCUGUUCUUAGUGGUGGUAUGUGCAGUACAUUUUUCGUUAGCAUAAUUCCACAUGUCGAUUCUGUCAGGUGGGUAGGCAACAUGCCAUAAUAAAUCCACAAAUCUUUACAUAGA
RNAcentral lists this long non-coding RNA (3731 nucleotides) under Salmo salar (Atlantic salmon). RNAcentral describes it as "lncRNA (ENSSSAG00000095526.1)". The record is from RNAcentral. Lineage: Eukaryota; Metazoa; Chordata; Actinopteri; Salmoniformes; Salmonidae.